Molecule: unclassified non-coding RNA, 2354 nt
Filed under: Stylophora pistillata
Lineage: Eukaryota; Metazoa; Cnidaria; Anthozoa; Scleractinia; Pocilloporidae
Description: serine/arginine-rich splicing factor 2-like, transcript variant X1
Source: RNAcentral
UUUGUAGGACGCCAUUUCUGUAUCCAUUCAAGAUAGGCUGUUUAAGAUUUGUGCGACCAUCAUGAGCUUCGAUGGAAGUAAAGGCCCGCCCCAAAUUGAGGGAAUGACUAGCUUAAAAGUCGAUAACCUUACUUAUCGCACUACCGUAGGAGAUUUGACGCACGUUUUUUCAAAAUACGGCGAUCUUGGCGACGUUUACAUCCCGCGUGACCGCUACAAACAAGAAUCCAGAGGGUUUGCUUUCGUACGAUUCUACGAGAAGCGAGAUGCGGAAGAUGCAAUGGAUGCCUUGCACGGAACUAUCAUCGAUGGAAGAGAAAUCCGUGUGCAGAUGGCAAAGUAUGGCAGACCAUCAGAUCCUUAUAAACCUCGAAAUAAUCGUUACAGGCAAUCAUCGUCCUACAGCAGCUCGAGGUAUCGAUCCCGUUCUCGUUCUCCACGACGAAGGGCACGCCGAUCACGUUCCAGAUCUCCACGGCGUCGUUCGAAGUCUCGCUCCCGUUCACCACGCAAAGCUCGUUACAGUGGCUCGCAGUCACCAAGAAAACAGGAGAGCCGUUCUCGCUCCAGAAGUCCUCGGCGUAAGCGAUCCCACUCAAGGUCCCGUUCAAAAUCUGGUUCAAGACCCAGACAGUCUCGUUCCAAGUCCCGUUCUCGGUCCAAAUCCCAUUCGAGAUCACCCCAGAACAAAACAUCAAGGUCUCCUUCUAGGUCUCCUAAACAGAGAAGAUCUGUGACUCCAGAUCGCACCGCACAAGAUCAUGAUGACAACAUUGACGCUUCUGCAGAGCAACAACAAGAAAGUGCUGACAACGAACGAAGAGAAAACAAUGCUUAUGAUUAAACAAUCCAAGCUUUCUUUAGACUUACUUAAACCAUUUAUAGUAAUCAGUUCUUUUAAGUAUUCUCUUCCAGGCUUUGUUGCUGUUGUGGAGAUGGGGAGUAAACUUUUGUUGCAGAGCAAGGAGGGAAUGGAUUGGGCAUUCUUCUAUUUUAGGCGCAGUUUAUUUAUACUUGCUGUGUGGGUUGACUGGUCAUGCAGUGUUUUGCUGUUUUCUGCUGUUGCCGAAGGAGCCCAUGCUGUUGCAGACUCCUGUGGGCGUUGUUGCCGUCCAGUUUCCUGAUUGGUUGCUGUUCGUCAAUUUUUCUGUUCAUUUAGAAAUUACCCCUGAAAGCUCAAUUACCACAACUUUUAAAUUUUCCUCCAAAUUUCUAGGUUAGGUAUGCAGCUUGAAAAAGGGUAGAAAAGAUCUUGAGGAAGAAGUGAUAUUUCAUCAAGCACAAUUUUGCUAACUACCUCGGUCGUAAAUUGAGGCGCACAGCUUGGGACCUUGGGAGGGAACUCUCCUGUUAGAUUUCUCAGGGCUUAAAAAGAAAUCAGUGCUAGGCUUGUUUCUAUCCAAAAGUGCCAAGGGCAAAUUUUAGCGGCUCAUUUAAACAAAACGCCUCCAAACUAAUUUGCAAAUACGAAGAAAAUCCUCAUCUCUGAAAGUAACACACGCACACACAAGCUAACCAUGGUUGGUAAGAGGAUCAUGUGCCCUUUCAACCAUUUACUUUCUCAGUGGCAUGGUUUUCCGAUGUUUAAUUUUUCUAUAUUUGGUUAAUGAGUCUUUCUUCCAGUCUUCCAUAUUGGAAAAUUGGAUCGUCGUUACCUUUCAAGGUGAUUACGAUCCGAAAAUUCUAGAAGAGUUAACUGUGUUGCAGGUGAAAUCCAACUGGUUCGUUCGUUGACAUGUGUCCAACUUACAUUUGGGCUGAAGUCUGGCUCACACUUAUAAUUGAUUUCUAUGAAUUGACAAAUGUCGCUGACAUUGUAAGUCGUGAUGCGAAGUAUAGCGAUGAAGAGAUCCUUCUAUCGGGCCAAGGAUAGUAAGAAGUGUCGUGACAACAUGUCGGGAGCACUUAAGUGUGGUGAUGACGACGUAAGGGGCGGCGGAAUGAAUUACGUAGGUGAAUACGAAGCGGGCUCGCUUUCGAUUACAAGCUUAGCUAUCAUUCCUUCCUUUACAGAAAGAAGUAGUGUAAACCUCAGUACAUCGUUCGGCUACACUUAAUGUUGUAGUAAAGCCGAUAUUUAACCAAGGUGGCUUUCGUCAGAGGACGGGGUACAGAGAAAUGCUGUCGAUGCACAGUCAGUGUUGAGUCUCGGAAGCAGUUGAAGAAUCCGGGAUGAGGCGGCUAUUUGGCUUUCAUGAGCAGUGAAAGAGAGGUUAGCCUUAUCGUGUGGACUAAGAAUCCACGACCAGCCGAAAGAGCGUCUGCGAAGGAGAAAGCAGUGCGUAGACUGGUCAACAGUAACGUGUUCCCUUGCUUUUUAGAGAACUAGGCAAAUAAAAGUAUUUUUUUAUUUA